Non-coding RNA from Bactrocera oleae (olive fruit fly), 587 nucleotides. The record is from RefSeq and is a predicted model, not a curated record. Lineage: Eukaryota; Metazoa; Arthropoda; Insecta; Diptera; Tephritidae.
UGAAACGUCAUGAAGAAUUCAUAAAUGUAGGCUUAGCAUCUUGACGCAGACACAGCAUCAGUGAGUAAUUCGGCGAAACCGACGGUCUAUCGUUUUGGUAACAUUGUAGGAUCUAAAUAAAUGAAAAAAUUAAGCAAUAUACAUAUCAGAAAUCAUAUCAGCUUUUAAAAGCAACAAAUAAAAUAAGUUUAUCAGAGGAAGGGAAGUACUAUUCGUAGCAUUCCAAAAACACAAGUUUAAAUAUUAAAAAAUUAAAUUUAAAAAAUCGUACAAUUAAACAAACAUAUCACGCGUUGUAAGCUUUAAUACAUAUAAAAAUUUCAAAAAAGCAAAAAAAAAACUAAAAAGUAAACAUCUUGACAAAUACAUAACCCAGUAUAGUUAUACAUAUGCAUUCAACCGAUUAAGUGGGGUAUUCCCUGUUAACUUUUGCAUAAUUAAACUAGAGAUUAACGUCGUGACAUACAACAACGAAAUAUGUAUCUUCGUUACGGAAAGCCAGCAUAAAUAACUGUGAAAAUACAAAAAAAAAACAUUUGAGUCCCCUGCAUUCAACAAACUCAUAAAUCACCAUACAUAUCAAAUAA